GACGAACGCUGGCGGCGUGCCUAACACAUGCAAGUCGAGCGAUGAAACUAGACGGAUUUCUUCGGAAUGAAAGAUAGUGGAUUAGCGGCGGAUGGGUGAGUAACGCGUGAGUAACCUGCCUCAUACAAUGGGAUAGCCACUGGAAACGGUGAAUAAUACCAUAUAAUAUGCUACCUUCGCAUGAAGGAAACAUCAAAGAAUUUCGGUAUGAGAUGGACUCGCGUCUGAUUAGUUAGUUGGUGAGGUAAUGGCUCACCAAGACGAUGAUCAGUAACCGGCUUGAGAGAGUGAACGGUCACACUGGAACUGAGAACGGUCCAG
RNAcentral lists this ribosomal RNA (321 nucleotides) under uncultured bacterium. RNAcentral describes it as "bacterial SSU rRNA". It matches the Rfam family "Bacterial small subunit ribosomal RNA", at positions 28 to 334 of the family's 1533-position model. The record is from RNAcentral.